AGUGAACGCUGGCGGCAGGCCUAACACAUGCAAGUCGAACGGACGCACAGUGAGCGCUUGCUCUUACGGGUGGCGAGUGGCGGACGGGUGAGGCAUGCAUAGGAUACCUCUUUUACGGGGGUGAUAACGUAGAACAGGUUCUGCUAAUACCGCAUACGUUGUACGGGUGAAAGCAGUGGUUAUACGGACCUUUCGCGUUAGAUAGAGACGGUGUCGGAUUAGCUAGUUGGCAGGGUAAGGGCAUACCAAGGCGACGAUACGUAGCUGGUCUGAGAGGAUGAUCAGCCACACUGGAACUGAGACACGGUCCAGACUCCUACGGGAGGCAGCAGUGGGGAAUCUUACGCAAUGGGCGAAAGCCUGAUCCAGCCAUACCGCGUGAGUGAUGAAGGUCUUCGGGUUGUAAAACCCUGUUGUUGGGAAAGAACAAAAGUGGGUUAAUCCCCGGCUGUUCUGACGGUACCCAAAGAAUAAGCCCCGGCUAACUUCGUG
This 492-nucleotide ribosomal RNA is filed under the name uncultured bacterium. RNAcentral describes it as "partial 16S ribosomal RNA". It matches the Rfam family "Bacterial small subunit ribosomal RNA", at positions 29 to 507 of the family's 1533-position model. The record is from RNAcentral.